This 386-nucleotide long non-coding RNA is filed under the name Elaeis guineensis (African oil palm). Its description in RNAcentral is "long non-coding RNA (EGUI_LNC081829)". The record is from RNAcentral. Lineage: Eukaryota; Viridiplantae; Streptophyta; Magnoliopsida; Arecales; Arecaceae.
AAACUCCGACGAUGCUCUUUCCAACCGCACAGAUGCCUGCGGCUGUUGCUGUUGCUGCAUGGCCUGCACCGCUUCAGUGAGGCUCCUGACCUGCUGAACCAGCAGGUCGAACUACUCCAUGCCGACUGCCGUUGUCGGAGGGGAAGGAGCCUGAGAAACUGGAGACAAAGUCGGAGCCGGUGGAUCUUGCUGAGAUCUGGCCAUAGAGACCGUAGAUCGCCUGGUGGAUGCCUUUCGGGGAGGCAUCAGGUUGGGAUCUGAUCAGAGAAGAAGAAAAAGAUGUCGAAGAAGAUGACCAGAGAUAGUCCCAUUGAGUACUCCUUUAAGAACAAGGGUCCUGCAAAGACAUAGCCGCCCUUCCUCUAGCGUCAAUUCUGUUGGUGCAA